Molecule: ribosomal RNA, 301 nt
Filed under: uncultured bacterium
Lineage: Bacteria
Description: partial 16S ribosomal RNA
Rfam family: Bacterial small subunit ribosomal RNA
Source: RNAcentral
CAGCCGCCGCGGGAAUACGGAGGGGGCUAGCGUUGUUCGGAAUUACUGGGCGUAAAGCGUACGUAGGCGGCUUUGUAAGUUAGAGGUGAAAGCCUGGAGCUCAACUCCAGAAUUGCCUUUAAGACUGCAUCGCUUGAACGUCGGAGAGGUGAGUGGAAUUCCGAGUGUAGAGGUGAAAUUCGUAGAUAUUCGGAAGAACACCAGUGGCGAAGGCGGCUCACUGGACGACUGUUGACGCUGAGGUACGAAAGCGUGGGGAGCAAACAGGAUUAGAUACCCCCGUAGUCCCUGUCUCUUAUAC